GACGAACGCUGGCGGCGUGCCUAAUACAUGCAAGUAGAACGCUGAAGAGGGGAGCUUGCUCUUCUUGGAUGAGUUGCGAACGGGUGAGUAACGCGUAGGUAACCUGCCUUGUAGCGGGGGAUAACUAUUGGAAACGAUAGCUAAUACCGCAUAACAAUGGAUGACACAUGUCAUUUAUUUGAAAGGGGCAAUUGCUCCACUACAAGAUGGACCUGCGUUGCAUUAGCUAGUAGGUGAGGUAAUGGCUCACCUAGGCGACGAUACAUAGCCGACCUGAGAGGGUGAUCGGCCACACUGGGACUGAGACACGGCCCAGACUCCUACGGGAGGCAGCAGUAGGGAAUCUUCGGCAAUGGGGGCAACCCUGACCGAGCAACGCCGCGUGAGUGAAGAAGGUUUUCGGAUCGUAAAGCUCUGUUGUAAGUCAAGAACGGGUGUGAGAGUGGAAAGUUCACACUGUGACGGUAGCUUACCAGAAAGGGACGGCUAACUACGUG
Molecule: ribosomal RNA, 497 nt
Filed under: uncultured bacterium
Lineage: Bacteria
Description: partial 16S ribosomal RNA
Rfam family: Bacterial small subunit ribosomal RNA
Source: RNAcentral